This 610-nucleotide ribosomal RNA is filed under the name uncultured fungus. RNAcentral's name for it is "eukaryotic LSU rRNA". The stretch from base 215 to 369 matches the Rfam family "5.8S ribosomal RNA". The record is from RNAcentral. Lineage: Eukaryota; Fungi.
UGACCUGCGGAGGAUCAUUAUUGAAAUUAUAGGCAAAGGUUGUAGCUGGCCUCUCGGGGCAUGUGCACGCCUGAGCCCUUUAAUCCACACACACCUGUGAACCAAUUGUAAGGGCCCCCUGAAAAGGGCCUUUACGUCUUAUUCAUCAACCCAUUGCAUGUCUCAGAAUGUAAACAUAUGUCCUCGCCUUAAAAAAGCGUUGAUAAACUUAUACAACUUUCAACAACGGAUCUCUUGGCUCUCGCAUCGAUGAAGAACGCAGCGAAAUGCGAUAAGUAAUGUGAAUUGCAGAUUUUCAGUGAAUCAUCGAAUCUUUGAACGCACCUUGCGCUCCUUGGUAUUCCGAGGAGCAUGCCUGUUUGAGUGUCAUUAAAUUCUCAACUCCGAUCGAUUUGUUUCGACCUCGGAGCUUGGACUUUGGAGCGUGCUGGCGUCGGUCGGCUCCUCUCAAAUGCAUCAGCGGAAUCUAACGUUUCGGACGUCAGUGUGAUAAUCACGUUGCGCUGUCGACCGAUCCUGAAAGCCCGCUCAUAAUGGUCUUCGGACAACUCCAUAUCAAAUUUGACCUCAAAUCAGGUAGGACUACCCGCUGAACUUAAGCAUAUCAAUA